UGACCCCCUGGGAAGUCCUCGUGUUGCAACCU
RNAcentral lists this ribosomal RNA (32 nucleotides) under Melampodium pringlei. The record is from RNAcentral. RNAcentral also lists the same sequence under 1 other name. Lineage: Eukaryota; Viridiplantae; Streptophyta; Magnoliopsida; Asterales; Asteraceae.